RNAcentral lists this ribosomal RNA (314 nucleotides) under uncultured Pseudomonas sp. RNAcentral's name for it is "bacterial SSU rRNA". It matches the Rfam family "Bacterial small subunit ribosomal RNA", at positions 1069 to 1382 of the family's 1533-position model. The record is from RNAcentral. Lineage: Bacteria; Pseudomonadati; Pseudomonadota; Gammaproteobacteria; Pseudomonadales; Pseudomonadaceae.
AGGAUGUUGGGUUAAGUCCCGUAACGAGCGCAACCCUUGUCCUUAGUUACCAGCACGUUAUGGUGGGCACUCUAAGGAGACUGCCGGUGACAAACCGGAGGAAGGUGGGGAUGACGUCAAGUCAUCAUGGCCCUUACGGCCUGGGCUACACACGUGCUACAAUGGUCGGUACAAAGGGUUGCCAAGCCGCGAGGUGGAGCUAAUCCCAUAAAACCGAUCGUAGUCCGGAUCGCAGUCUGCAACUCGACUGCGUGAAGUCGGAAUCGCUAGUAAUCGUGAAUCAGAAUGUCACGGUGAAUACGUUCCCGGGCCUU